AUGAAUUGCAUAAGUUGGAAUUGUCGUGGCUGUGGGAAUGCUGCGACAAUUCGUGAACUUUGUGUCGUGGCAGAGACACACCAUCCCAAAGUUAUCUUUCUUUCUGAAACUCGUCAAAAGUGUGUUCGUAUGCGUCGUCUUAGGAGUCGAUUAGGCCUUUCUGGUUUUGCUGGAGUUGAUAGUGAUGGUUUAAGUGGUGGUUUAGCUUUGUUCUGGCAUGAGAGUCUG
RNAcentral lists this ribosomal RNA (228 nucleotides) under Triticum aestivum (bread wheat). RNAcentral describes it as "partial small subunit ribosomal RNA". The record is from RNAcentral. Lineage: Eukaryota; Viridiplantae; Streptophyta; Magnoliopsida; Poales; Poaceae.